GUGGGGAAUAUUGCGCAAUGGGGGCAACCCUGACGCAGCAAUACCGCGUGAGUGAAGAAGGUUUUCGGAUCGUAAAACUCUUUUAUUGGGGAAGAAGAAGUGACGGUACCCAAUGAAGAAGUCCCGGCUAACUACGUGCCAGCAGCCGCGGUAAUACGUAGGGGACAAGCGUUGUCCGGAAUCACUGGGCGUAAAGGGCGCGUAGGCGGUUUUAUAAGUCAGAUGUGAAAGGUACCGGCUCAACCGGUGACGUGCAUUUGAAACUGUAAGACUUGAGUACUGGAGAGGCAAGUGGAAUUCCUAGUGUAGCGGUGAAAUGCGUAGAUAUUAGGAGGAACACCGGUGGCGAAGGCGGCUUGCUGGACAGAUACUGACGCUGAGGUGCGAAAGCGUGGGGAGCGAACAGGAUUAGAUACCCCGGUAGUCC
This 427-nucleotide ribosomal RNA is filed under the name uncultured bacterium. RNAcentral's name for it is "partial 16S ribosomal RNA". It matches the Rfam family "Bacterial small subunit ribosomal RNA", at positions 354 to 796 of the family's 1533-position model. The record is from RNAcentral.